AUAUUAAUGUAUUUCAUGAGCUUCUUCAGUAAAUCUGUAUUUCUAAGUCAGUAUCUCCCUUCAGAAAUGUUGCUGAAGGGAGAUACUGACUUAGAAAUACAGGUGAACUCAUGAAAAUAAGCUCAUGAAAUACUCAUGAAAGAAGCUCAUGAAAUACAUUAAUAUGCCUUUUUCAGAAUAUAUUUCACCAAUUUUAAGGAGUCCCUGACAUCAAAACAUGGCUUGUUUUGUUCCUGGACUCUUCAGUGAUGAUGAGCAGAGUCUGAGUGAACCUGCUGUCAGACAAUCACUAUUGCACACCAAAUGCUCUUACUCAGCAGAUGGGGACAGCUACCAUCACCCAAUUUUCACCCAAAAGUGGCUGCGCUAUGCGCCAGACCGGGCAGGAGGGACUGGACGACAACUUAUGCAGGCAUCAGAUGACAAUGAAGUGUAAAUAAAGAGUAGAGGCUAAUAAACAGGAAUUUGAUUUUCAA
Molecule: long non-coding RNA, 476 nt
Organism: Carassius auratus (goldfish)
Lineage: Eukaryota; Metazoa; Chordata; Actinopteri; Cypriniformes; Cyprinidae
Exons: 4
Source: RefSeq, a predicted model, not a curated record